This 253-nucleotide ribosomal RNA is filed under the name uncultured bacterium. Its description in RNAcentral is "partial 16S ribosomal RNA". It matches the Rfam family "Bacterial small subunit ribosomal RNA", at positions 524 to 776 of the family's 1533-position model. The record is from RNAcentral.
UACGUAGGGUGCAAGCGUUGUCCGGAAUUAUUGGGCGUAAAGAGCUCGUAGGCGGUCUGUUGCGUCGGCUGUGAAAACCCGAGGCUCAACCUCGGGCCUGCAGCCGAUACGGGCAGACUAGAGUUCGGCAGGGGAGACUGGAAUUCCUGGUGUAGCGGUGAAAUGCGCAGAUAUCAGGAGGAACACCGGUGGCGAAGGCGGGUCUCUGGGCCGAUAUUGACGCUGAGGAGCGAAAGCGUGGGGAGCGAACAGG